Molecule: long non-coding RNA, 253 nt
Filed under: Mytilus galloprovincialis (Mediterranean mussel)
Lineage: Eukaryota; Metazoa; Mollusca; Bivalvia; Mytilida; Mytilidae
Source: RNAcentral
GGGUGAUUAUUCAGACUAGUGCACACAUUUUACAGUUCAAACAAGGCAAUGCCGAGCGUGGCAUCCCCUCGUAUGUAACAUAUUGGGGACAAAUAUGGACACUAUAUUUGUAUAUGACACAUGCAGAAAAUGGUAAAUUGAAUAUGCAUAUUUGAUACAUAAACUAUUUAUUUAGAAAUCAACCAAAACAUUCAGUAACUGGAAAUACCUUUAAUAUUGUCUUUAGAACCAGCAGGUAAAAAAUGAGCAACCA